This is a small RNA of Listeria monocytogenes EGD-e, 99 nucleotides long. It matches the Rfam family "Listeria sRNA rli27". NCBI's taxonomy places the organism in Bacteria, Bacillati, Bacillota, Bacilli, Caryophanales, Listeriaceae. The record is from Rfam.
AUAAGUAUAUUUUAACGAUAUUAUCUAUCUAAAUUUACCACGAAUCUAGCCUAAAUUCAAUUAAAAACAAAUAGAAAAGCAAAAUUUCUCAUGACAAGA